AAAUGAAUAGACGGGGGCCCGCACAAGCGGAGGAACAUGUGGUUUAAUUCGAUGAUACGCGAGGAACCUUACCUGGGCUUAAAUGUAGAGUGCAUGAGGUAGAAAUACUUCUUCCCUUCGGGGCUCUUUGCAAGGUGCUGCAUGGUUGUCGUCAGCUCGUGCCGUGAGGUGUCGGGUUAAGUCCCAUAACGAGCGCAACCCUUAUCGUUAGUUGCCAGCGGGUAAAGCCGGGAACUCUAACGAAACUGCCGGUGUAAACCGAGAGGAAGGUGGGGAUGACGUCAAAUCAGCACGGCCCUUAUGUCCAGGGCUACACACGUGUUACAAUGGCCGGUACAGAGGGCAGCUACCUGGAGACAGGAUGCGAAUCUCGAAAGCCGGUCUCAGUUCGGAUCGGAGUCUGCAACUCGACUUCGUGAAGCUGGAUUCGCUAGUAAUCGCGCAUCAGCCACGGCGCGGUGAAUACGUUCCCGGGCCUUGUACACACCGCCCGU
Molecule: ribosomal RNA, 494 nt
Filed under: uncultured bacterium
Lineage: Bacteria
Description: bacterial SSU rRNA
Rfam family: Bacterial small subunit ribosomal RNA
Source: RNAcentral